Non-coding RNA from Nippostrongylus brasiliensis, 72 nucleotides. The record is from Rfam. Lineage: Eukaryota; Metazoa; Nematoda; Chromadorea; Rhabditida; Heligmosomidae.
ACAUCGGUAGCACAGUGGUUAGUGCAGAUUGCCGGAAAUAGGAAGACGCGGGUUCAAUUCCUGUCCGAUGUC